GUCUCCUGUUAAGGAACACUUACAAGCCCAGAGAGAUACCAAAAUGCGCAAGCCUCGGCCAUCAUCAAGGAACUGAGAAAAUGUGUCUUCAACCAUGAGGAGGAAAAUUCAAAGGAGUUCCGAACACAUACAAAUACAUGUAAAGGGACAGAGAUGAAAGGAAUGGAGCCAUCGGAGCGGGAGUACAGGGGGAGAGGGAGCAGCACCUAUGCCCAAGCCCCGACUGGGCAGCCUGGGCCAGCCCUCAGGAUGAGAGCAAGGUUCUCAAUGCCCUUCCUCACCUCCCUCCUCAAUGAUGUUCUUCAUCCUCACCAUCCCAUCACCUCCAGAGACUAGUGUGUUUGUGGCACCCUUCUUCCCAGUCAAGCCUGCUCUCAGAAAUCAUCCUUGGGAAGGGUCAACAUGAUAGCCACAUAUGGAAGGGGCGUG
This 429-nucleotide long non-coding RNA is filed under the name Homo sapiens (human). Its description in RNAcentral is "HSALNT0121603". The record is from RNAcentral. Lineage: Eukaryota; Metazoa; Chordata; Mammalia; Primates; Hominidae.